Long non-coding RNA from Apodemus sylvaticus (European woodmouse), 1910 nucleotides. RefSeq lists it as uncharacterized. The record is from RefSeq and is a predicted model, not a curated record. The transcript has 3 exons. Lineage: Eukaryota; Metazoa; Chordata; Mammalia; Rodentia; Muridae.
GGCAAAGGGUUUCCUGCCCUCGGUGUGGGCACACAAAGACGCCGCGGGUGCCCCCCUCACCGGAUCUCGCAGGCAGCCGCUAACGCAAGGCCGCCGCCAACCGGUCGUGAUCGUAACCGAGGCCUUGUCUGCUCAGAGGCCCACCAGGCCAAAAACCACGGACCUGAACAGCCUCCCUUUAUGCACUUAGUACAACCAAAACUGUGUACCGAGAGAGAGAAAAGAAACCUCCAAGCUUUCUCUAAGCUAGCUCUUUACCCUCCGGAAGAACCAUUUGGAAAGGAAACAGAGAGCUAGAGAUUUGGACAGAAAGAUGGAAGAUGCAAGGAAAAAAAAAAAGGAAGGAGUAACGGAAAGGAAAAAAUAAAGAAGAAAGGGAAGAGGAUAGAAAAUACGAAAACACACAGCAGCAACUGAGAGCAGAGGCGCCCUUGCAGCGGGAAGGGUAAGCGACAAGGCCAGGGUACCAGCCCCGACUGUCUCCACUGGCAAAGGACUUUUGCCUCUGCUCAUAGCGGAAUUACUGGGCCGAGCAUGUGUUCCAGCCCAGCCUUGUCGGAGAAUGACAGAGCCCCACACAGGCACAGGUCGACAGUAGGGAAAGCUCAGACAGCAAACGAGCGCCCCUGACCUUGAAUGGCCCGGGGCCCAGAAUUCUUACCACGCCCCCGGCGUCCGAGAAUCAGCCGCUAACCUGACCGUACCUGCUCCGGGCCAGGUGCCGGGAGGAGACAGUGAGGCGGGCUGGAUGGCACAGCGCUGAGGAAGACCCGAAGCUCCUCCUGCACUGGGGAUCUGAGGUUGCCACCGCAGGCCUGGCACGAUUAGGCCUUGAUGGCACGCCUGACCACCCCGGGCUGCUCAGUACAGGUACCUGAAGACGCUUUCAACUGAAGUAAUGAAGGCAGUGUCAUGCUGUCGAGAGAAAGGUGGAUCCCAACAACAGGAAACUACCUAAAUCACCGACCAGUUCUGAUGCUGCCGGCGUAGCCUUGCCUCGCCCCUCGCCGCCUCCGCUGGCCGCUGCCGCCACUGUCGCCGCCAAGGAAAGAGCCCUGCGAUUGUGCCCAGACCAGCCCUCCGCAACCUGUACCAGACACCACCCCAAGCCCGUGGUGGACGAAGAAGGCACCGUUCUAGGGAGAGGUUUGACCCUUUUAUGCAUGUAACUUCACAGUAUAGAGGAAAUCCAAACAACAUCUCCCUUCUCUCGUUUUGUCUGCUUGCCCAGCCCACCUAGGCUUCCGUGAAUUUCAGAAAGCCUACAAAAUAAAACAAAACAAAAGCCAGGUCAAGCCCUUUAGCUAACCUGAAUGUCCACACUUCCUUACUCUGCUCUUGGCCAAGGAAGAAAAGAAGGAAGAAAAGAGAAACCAGGCCUGGACUCCCUGAUUAAACACAGCCCAGCACUCCGCUGGAACCCGGUGGUGGCCCCUUGCACCGUUGACCUCAGGCCAGACACCUCAGCGCCGACAAUGGGACCUAGGGCUUCCGGCUAAGUUUCCCCAGGGCUGGCAGGAAACCAGACCCGUGGAGGAGUACUGGGGUCCUUUCCUAGCAGUGGGUCCCAGAGGCAGCCAACCCAGCCCAGUCAGGACUUGACAGUGAGAACGAUCUCAACCUCUAUAGAAUUUUAGCGAUAUGGCUUUUCCCCCAGAAACAAGUAAACACCAAGCAAACAGACAAAGAAACAACAACAACAACAACAACAACAAAAGCCAGAACAAACCAGCCCUGCACAGACGAAACCGGCCUGGGAGAUGGCGAGUGUGGGAGGGAGAAAUGGGGCUCCGGCACAGGUGCGAGUUCUGGGGCAGAGGCUGGAGGCAGGAGGAGGGUACAGGCGCUCGGAAAACGCCUUGUCUGGAAGUUUCAUCAAGAAAAAUUAAAGUUGGCUGUGAGCUCCCGGA